UGUUUCUUCGGUACCCCUUAGCAAGCUAGCCGCACCCCAUCUUCCCCAAACAAUUCGACGAUAAAGUUACCCUUCCCUCUCCCUUCCUUCGACCUUGCCUCAUCCUUGGAAGAGUUCUCGACCAACAAUGGCGACAGGGAGGUGAACAUCAGCAACAAGCAUCGGCGAUCUCUGUUUCCGGUCUCCCUUCGCUCGGCAGGAGGCGUGGCAGGGGCGUCAGCAACGGUCUUCUUCGGCGAGCUCGGCCAGCUACAGUGGCGGUCCCGACGGUCUCUCGACGUGAACAGAGCUCCUCGACAUUCUUUUCUCGUCGACGUCGGUGGAGCUUCGGACAACACAACAGUACUAGCUCCUCCCUUCCUCGUCUUCCCGGCAGCGGCUUGGUUGACGCACAAGCUUAUCCUCUCCUCGGCGGCGAGUUUCGGAGUGGCGUUGGCAGCAGAGAAGCAACAACAACAACAAGAGAUGGAGGAGGCAGUUUGGCGUUACGGGUCGCGGCAGCUGCAGUGUCGUACUCUCCUCCGACGAAUCUUCCGGCAGUGCGUUAGGCGUGGAGGGUGAACGUGGUGCAGCUUGGUGAGACGGGAGGCCGCGAGUGGUGGUGUGCCUGCCGUUCCACCCGCGACUUUGGCUGCUUAAGGAAGACGAAGAAGAUGAAUGGGGUUCCCGGUAGCUUGGCUUUUUGAGUUGAGCCUAAGUUGGCGUUGUUUUUGGAUGUUAAGCGAAUGAGGCACAGAUGAGUAGCUCCGGAGCGCGCUAAAGAACCG
Molecule: long non-coding RNA, 767 nt
Organism: Ipomoea nil (Japanese morning glory)
Lineage: Eukaryota; Viridiplantae; Streptophyta; Magnoliopsida; Solanales; Convolvulaceae
Exons: 3
Source: RefSeq, a predicted model, not a curated record